Mycena latifolia is the source of this 96-nucleotide non-coding RNA. Lineage: Eukaryota; Fungi; Basidiomycota; Agaricomycetes; Agaricales; Mycenaceae. The record is from the annotation of a GenBank genome assembly.
GGCUCGGUGGUGGAUGGUCCACAUCUGCAUGUUGUACAUUGUGGUCAACGAAAACAGUUUCAGUAUAAGUAGCCCGUUCGAUUCGGGCCCGAGCCA